RNAcentral lists this ribosomal RNA (344 nucleotides) under uncultured Sandona. RNAcentral's name for it is "bacterial SSU rRNA". The stretch from base 133 to 344 matches the Rfam family "Eukaryotic small subunit ribosomal RNA", at positions 746 to 955 of the family's 1831-position model. The record is from RNAcentral. Lineage: Eukaryota; Cercozoa; Glissomonadida.
GAUUUCUGAUAUUAAUAUGCAAAAGUCCGCUACCGUUAGGUAUGUGUGUACUAUUGUCAUAUUUAUCAUCCUUCUCAUAUAGACUAGGUUAAGCUUCUUCAUUGAGGUUUAGCUUAGUUUUUUUAUAUAUGAGAUCUUUUACUUUGAAAAAAUUAGAGUGUUUAAAGCAGGCGUUAUUGCUAUGAAUACAUUAGCAUGGAAUAAUAAUUUAGGACUUUGGUUUUAUUUUAUUGAUUUCUAAUCAACUGAAGUAAUGAUUGAUAGGGAUAGUUGGGGGUGCUCGUAUUCAGUGGCCAGAGGUGAAAUUCUCGGAUUCCCUGAAGACGAACUUAUGCGAAAGCAUU